RNAcentral lists this ribosomal RNA (367 nucleotides) under uncultured organism. RNAcentral describes it as "bacterial LSU rRNA". It matches the Rfam family "Bacterial large subunit ribosomal RNA", at positions 2099 to 2465 of the family's 2925-position model. The record is from RNAcentral.
CUUUACUGUAGCCUGGUAUUGGGUUCGGGCUUUGACUGCGCAGGAUAGGUGGGAGGCUUUGAUCCAUUGCUUGUGGGUGAUGGUGAGCCAACGGUGAGAUACCACUCUUUCAGAGCUAGGGUUCUAACGGUCACCCGUCAUCCGGGGACCGGACAGUAUCAGGUGGGCAGUUUGACUGGGGCGGUCGCCUCCUAAAAGGUAACGGAGGCGCGCAAAGGUUCUCUCAGGCUGGUUGGAAAUCAGCCGACGAGUGUAAAGGCAGAAGGGAGCUUGACUGUGAGGCCUACAAGUCGAACAGGGACGAAAGUCGGCCUUAGUGAUCCGACGGUUCUGUGUGGAAGGGCCGUCGCUCAACGGAUAAAAGUUA